This 27-nucleotide ribosomal RNA is filed under the name Mycosphaerella sp. MEC1. RNAcentral describes it as "partial 28S ribosomal RNA". Lineage: Eukaryota; Fungi; Ascomycota; Dothideomycetes; Mycosphaerellales; Mycosphaerellaceae. The record is from RNAcentral.
CGGAUCAGGUAGGGAUACCCGCUGAAC